Molecule: ribosomal RNA, 315 nt
Filed under: uncultured bacterium
Lineage: Bacteria
Description: bacterial SSU rRNA
Rfam family: Bacterial small subunit ribosomal RNA
Source: RNAcentral
GAUGAACGCUAGCUACAGGCUUAACACAUGCAAGUCGCGGGGCAGCAUGUUACUGGCUUGCCAGUAAUGAUGGCGACCGGCGCACGGGUGAGUAUCGCGUAUCCAACCUUCCCAUAUCCACGGGAUAGCCUGCCGAAAGGCAGAUUAAUACCGUAUGUUGUCGCACGCUGGCAUCAAAAUGCGACGAAAGGCUUAGCGGAUAUGGAUGGGGAUGCGUCCGAUUAGCUUGACGGCGGGGUAACGGCCCACCGUGGCGACGAUCAGUAGCCGGACUGAGAGGUUGAACGGCCACAUUGGGACUGAGACACGGCCCAG